This 250-nucleotide ribosomal RNA is filed under the name uncultured bacterium. Its description in RNAcentral is "partial 16S ribosomal RNA". It matches the Rfam family "Bacterial small subunit ribosomal RNA", at positions 83 to 334 of the family's 1533-position model. The record is from RNAcentral.
CUCCGCCGGCGACCGGCGCACGGGUGCGUAACGCGUAUGCAACCUACCUUUAACAGGGGCAUAACACUGAGAAAUUGGUACUAAUUCCCCAUAACAUUCGAGAAGGCAUCUUCUUGGGUUAAAAACUCCGGUGGUUAAAGAUGGGCAUGCGUUGUAUUAGCUAGUUGGUGAGGUAACGGCUCACCAAGGCAACGAUACAUAGGGGGACUGAGAGGUUAACCCCCCACAUUGGUACUGAGACACGGACCAA